This 67-nucleotide transfer RNA is filed under the name Dipodomys ordii (Ord's kangaroo rat). It matches the Rfam family "tRNA". From Rfam's summary of the family: Transfer RNA (tRNA) molecules are approximately 80 nucleotides in length. Lineage: Eukaryota; Metazoa; Chordata; Mammalia; Rodentia; Heteromyidae. The record is from Rfam by way of RNAcentral.
GCUAAGGUUGCUCAGUGGUAGAGCACUUGCCUUGCAUGCAUGAGGCCCUGGGUUCAAUUCCUCAGCA